AUGAGUUUUGGAGUUUAAUAAAAAAAAAAAAAAAAAAUCUGUUCUUAUCAGUUUAAUAUCUGAUACGUCCCCCAUCCGGGGACUACAUAUUAAAUGGAUUUUUAGAUCACGGAGCUGGAGCCGGGGCUUGCUCCGUCCACUCCAUGCAUCGGCCUGGUAUUGCAGUGUCUCCAGGAACGGUGUGCUUUCC
RNAcentral lists this small nuclear RNA (190 nucleotides) under Carassius auratus (goldfish). RNAcentral's name for it is "U2 spliceosomal RNA (ENSCARG00000031994.1)". It matches the Rfam family "U2 spliceosomal RNA". From Rfam's summary of the family: U2 is a small nuclear RNA (snRNA) component of the spliceosome (involved in pre-mRNA splicing). Complementary binding between U2 snRNA (in an area lying towards the 5' end but 3' to hairpin I) and the branchpoint sequence (BPS) of the intron results the bulging out of an unpaired adenosine, on the BPS, which initiates a nucleophilic attack at the intronic 5' splice site, thus starting the first of two transesterification reactions that mediate splicing. Lineage: Eukaryota; Metazoa; Chordata; Actinopteri; Cypriniformes; Cyprinidae. The record is from Rfam by way of RNAcentral.